UUCUGGCUGACCAGGGCAGUCAACGGCGCUCCAGACAAUGUCUGUCUCCUUCCUCGUCUUCCUCUCCAUGCUCCCAUGGGGUGUCUUGUCACAGGUGCAGCUGCAGGAGUCAGGUCCAGCACUGGUGAAGCCCUCACAGACCCUCUCACUCACCUGUGCCAUCUCUGGGGACAGUGUCUCUAGCAACAGUGCUACUUGGAACUGGAUCAGGCAGUCACCAGGGAGAGGCCUUGAGUGGCUGGGAAGGACAUACUACAGCUCCAAGUGGUAUUAUAACUACGCAGCAUCUCUGCAAAGUCGAAUAACCAUCAACCCAGACACAUCCAAGAACCAGUUCUCCCUGCAGCUGAACUCUGUGACCCUCGAGGACACAGCUGUGUAUUACUGUGCAAGAGACACAGUCAGGGAAAGUCAGUGUGAGCCCAGACACAAACCUCCCUGCAGGGUUGCUCAGGACACCAGAGGGGAUUUAGUACUACCAGCACAGGAUCCGUACCAGGAGCAGGUGCAGAGUUAA
Non-coding RNA from Saimiri boliviensis boliviensis (Bolivian squirrel monkey), 517 nucleotides. Lineage: Eukaryota; Metazoa; Chordata; Mammalia; Primates; Cebidae. The record is from the annotation of a RefSeq genome assembly.